AAGCAACUGUGUACAUGAUUAUAUUUUUGAUAGGCUUGUAGGAAGGCAGUCGUGGUGUGUUCCCCAUGAAAAAGGAAAAGCACAAAGAUUGUCUUCCCAGGAAUAAGUCUAAAGAUCCACACGGAGGUAAUGGAACUUCCUGAAGACACGAACAUCUAUUUUCCUUGGUGCGGGUACAUUUGAGAUCCCUGUUUUGCCCUUACUCAGCUGAUGGACAAUCUAGUCUUCUCCUGAAUCAUACAAAGCCAACACCAAGAAGCCAUUUUAUCAACGUCUGCCUAGACUCUACAGAUACCCCUCAGUCUGCUAUGAUCUCUUCUUUAGAAUUAAAGCAGAAAAAAAGAAGAAGAAGUUGUUGUUGAGGCUUGGAACAAUGAAGAAAGCCUAUGGGAGGCUAUUGGUGAAAGUGCAGCAGAACUGCAGCAGAAAAUCCCAAAAUAUUGGAGAUGCCAUUACCAGGGGAUGACCACCAAGAACAGCAGCAGAAGUAGAGUGCAGUCAGCCAGUACCUAGAGUGCUACAGAGGACAGAGCUGCAGACCUGACCCAAUCCCUUUGAAGGAGCUCAGACACUGGAACAAGAAUCUGUGGAACUGAAGUUGCCUUGGAGACCCCAAGAUACUAGAGAUGCCAGAGCCAUGGAAUGCCUGCCAAGAAAAACUGCUAACAGGGAGUGGAACCAGCCCAAGAGGAAGAAUUGUGCUGCAGACAAACAAGCUAAAAGGAGCUGGACACCAGACAUGGAGAUGCAGAAUUUGGAGUUUCCCAACUGGUUUUUGGUCUUGCAUUGGUGCAGUUUUUCUCACUAAGAUGUUUUUGCAAUGGUAAUGUAUAUCCUGUGGUGUUGGAAGUAUGUGGGCUGCUUUUUUAUUUUAAUUUCAUAAGGGGUUAUGGUUAAGAGAUUACAUGAUUCACAGAAGAAACUUUGAACAUUGGACUUUUAAACAUUGUUGAGACUGUGAUAGACUAUGAAGAUUUUUGGAGUUGGAUUAAAUGCAUUUCGCAUUAUUUUAUGGCUAUAAGCCUAUGGAGCCAGGGAGUAGUAUGUGGCAGUUUGAACAGGUUUAACCCUGAAAGAUUCAUGUGUCUGAAUGCUUGACCACAGUUUUGGCCUUGUUAGAGGAAGUGUUUCACUAUAGGAGUGGACACUGUAGUCUUCUAUGCUCAGCAUCUACCCAGUAAGAAUUACCUUUGAAUCACAAUGUAGAAAUUUCAGCUUCCUCACCAUGCUUGCCUAAAUACUAUCUUGCUUCCCACAAUGAUGAUAAUGGUCUAAACCUCUAAAACUUUAAGCCAGCCUCCAGUUAAAUAUCGGCCUUUAUAAGUGUUGCCUUGGUUAUGGUGUCUCCUUAACAGUGAAACCUUAACAAAGACAUAGUAUCUUUAUACAUAAAAACAGUCACAUUAGUUCUUAGAAUCAGAGUCCAAGGAACACAGAUUCCAGUAAUGGCAGAAUAUAUUGAAAAAGAAGAGAGAGAGAGAGAGAGAGAGAGAGAGUGUCAAGGAACACAGCAGAAGAUGGCAGAGAUAUAAGAAUGUUAGAACAAGGAAAUAAAAAGGUGGGCUCCACCAUGUCAUCUGGGCAAGGCAUAGAUAUCAUGAACUUACAAAAUAAUAACUCCAUAGACAGGCAAGAAUGGAGGAGGUAACUGGGGAGUGGAACCCCUCCUUGCUGACCUACUUUUGCUAUUGGUAGACUCAAUGAAUGAGGAAGUCAUUGUUUUCUGUUGUAUAUCUGCUAAUGACCCUACUAGCCUCCAAAGGAUACUUCCAAUCCACUAAUCACACUAAUGGCCCUAGUAAAACAAAAUGGCUGACAAACUAAAGCCAGAAUUCAUAAAUUAGAGAAAGACAAAAGGAAGGCCUGAGAGGAAAUGGGAGGGAGAUAAGAUAUCAUAAGGGGGAAAUAGCAACUGAAACACACACACACACACACACACACACACACACACACACACACACUUGUCAAACUACAAAAUUAAUCAAUAUUAAAAAGGUACUUAAAGGGAUCCUAAUUUUACUGGAAGGUUAGUAUGCUUCCAAAGUUUGUUGGUCUCUCUCAGUCUUGACCAUUCACUGUUCUAGGAAAGAGUUUAGUUCUAAUAGUCUUAAGAAUGGUCCUUUUCUGAGAGUCACUUUCUGUUGACAUCCUGACAAGUUCAUAGAAUGUUUGACAUGUAUAGGACACAGUCUCAAUCAUAAAAGAAGCCAGUGUUGUCAACUUUUUUACUAAAGUAUAUGCCUUAGGGGAAAGGUAGAAGAAUGUGUAGGUUUUCAAAGCUUCCAUUUUGUUUUGCAGUCCUAUAGAUUAGUCCUAGGAUCUAGCAUAUGUUAGACAAUUAUUCUACCACCGAGACACAGCUCUAGCUCACAGAUUCAGAAAUAAAGGCUACUGGGAACUUUCUAGAAAGAUUACUAAGACCAAUAAUUAAACAAAUUCUAAACUCUGGACCCUUAAUUACUUCCCCAUUGUUGGAAUUCUCAUCAUUCCCAUCAUUUUAAAAAGUUUUAAUUCAAUAAAGAUUCCAAGAGCUUUCUUUAUAUUUAGCAAAUCAUUAGCAGACAAACACAAGGAACAAAGUAUACCAAUUUGCAAAGCAAACUUGUUCAUGAUGUCUAUCUUAAAGAGGAUGAGAAAAGCAGGCUAAUGAUAACAGGACUGGCAUGACUAAGAAGGGGGCCUCUGAAAUCUUCAGUGGAUGAAACUAGGGACUCUUAGGUAACCAAAAUAUUGGUUUCCCAGACUGCUUCCUGGAGCAAUCAUGCUCAGAGGAGACACAAUAUGGAAUCAUUAUGACAGUGCUCCAGUGACGUCCCCACUAAACUGCAGGCUGAAGACAUGGAUAUUAGCCACUAAAUCUCUACCUAGGUAUCCUCAUGCUUUAUUUCCAAAGCUACCUUACCUGAUGCCUUUCAUCAUCAUCUCUGGACCAAUAUUAUAACCAAAUCAGAACCUUCUAGGUUGUGUGGUGAGAAACUAAUCAGAUCUACUUGUGUCCUGAAGGAAGUAAGCGAGUGGCCGUUACCUCCUUUUUAAAGAAGCAGCCGUGGGAUCCAGCUCCAUGUUGGGGAUAAAUCAAGCUUUCUCUCUGAGUCUAGUGCACAGGGGCAUAAAAUCCAACUCUGCACCACACAUUCCUGGAGGGGAUUUUUUUUCUCCCUGUGUUAUACCUGCAAAACUCCAGCCUUUUUUUUUCCUCUGGCAAGCCUGGAUACAUGAUUAAUAUUUUAAACCUCCCAGGUUCUGCUUUCCCUACAUUCAAAAGUGCCUGGAUGUUGGACUUUUAAAAAUUCUAUUUAUCUUCUCAUCCAGAUUGCUGAGGAGGAAUUGCAAGUAGAAAACACAGCCACAGGGGCCUUGACAAAUCCUAGCAAAUCUUUAAAUUGCUUCUGCAGUCAUCAGGGUUUUCUCUCAUUAGCAUCUCUGAUGUGUCUUGUCUCCUGCUGACCUUCGUUUGGGAAUGGAAGAAAGAAGAGUUUUAGGAGGGCAUUGUACCUUUUCCUCUCAGAAGGCGAACUCGAUAUGAAUGGCCAGUGCUCUCAUAUCAGUAUAGACAGGACUGGUUUCUUCUCUCCCAUUAUGCAAGAUCAUGUCCCUGGAGAUAACUCUCUCUCCCCCUCCCCCUGCCCUCCCUCUCCUCCUCCUCCUCUCUCUCCUCUCUCUCUCUCUCUCUCUCUCUCUCCCCCGCCCCCCAUAAGUAGCUCUCUCCAUCUGACUAGAAAGUAUUGAAAAGCUUCCCCCACAAAGCUUCUUGCAUUCACCUCACGGAUCACUGCAGGCUCCUGGUUAUCUCCCCAUUCACAGUCUCCUUACAAUCUGUCUCCUUUUCGUGAGAAGCAGAGGCAAGUUGGAUAGGGAGACGAGUAGGGUUGGCUAAGUGUACUUCAGAAUCUGGAAUCUGACUGCUUAUGCUCCAAUUUGUCUCUAACACUAAUUCCUAACCAAUUCCAGUUUCAAAGGAAAGGUCGAGCCCUCUAAUCUCUCUAAGCUUCAAUUUACUUACUAUGAGAUUGGCGAUGAUAAUAACAGCUACUGAAUAAUGAAGAGUGAAUAAGCAAUGCAUGAAAGUGCGUUGGAAAACAUGGAUGAUGUAUUACACACCUCUCUUCUGUGCCUCCAUCACAAGGAGAAUGAGGACUGGGAACCCCUGGGACAGGAAAUUGCUUGCUAAGUUCCCUUAGAUCUCUAAAGUCCUCAGCAUUGAUAUCUACAAUGUUAAUAGAUCACUACUGACAGGUCAUCUCUGUGCUGUAUAUUAGAGGCACAGAGGAAGAAGAGCUAGGCUGGUUUCUGCCUUCAUGCUUCGCAGUCAGACAAAGCCACAGAGAGAGUCAUAAGAGAAGCUAAGGUCAUGACCUCCACUUGGCCAGGAAAAUGAUCAGGAAAUGGAAAAGCUCCUUUACUCAGUGAAGCUCACUUGCUGUCUCCGAAAUGAGAAUAUUUCCAGCCAAUAGACUCCUCUUUAUCGUAGCCUCUGUUUCUGCCCCUGCCAGCCUCUGAUUGAAUACUUGUCCUAACUAGACUGAGCCAGAGGGUGCUAUAUGCUGAUAAGGGGUUAUGAUGCAUUGGAAUGGUGAAAGCACCUACCUACAGAGAGUGAUAUUAUAGAACAGAGCAAUAAUGGAGGGAGAGCCCAGGACCCAGACAUAGCACAGCAUUCCCUGGUUCUAUGAAUUUGCACAAUGUACCAACUUAUGUGAGCCAAGGUCAUUACUUUGCCAUGACAGGGAUAAUUCUUUCCUCCUGUCAAGGAGUUGUGAGGAGUGAGACAGUAUAUGUGAGAUGUUUUAUGUUUUAGAUUGUGAAACUGAAGAAAAUAAAACAAAAGAAAAUCCCCAACGAAUUAAGGAACCCAUGCCAAGUAAAAUAAAGGAAAGAGAUCUAUAGAUAAUCUCUCAAAAAAAGUAGUAAAAUAUCUACCAUGGGCUGAUAGACUAUAAAUAUUCAAGGUAGAAGAACAGGGUAUUACAGAAUCACAUUUCACUUCAUUAUUGAUUUUUAACAUAACAAACGAUGGUAGGUUAGUGAAUGCUCACCACAGACAUAAAGAAACCAGUUAGAAAGCAAGACAGGUACAACAACAAAAAAAUAACCUGGGGUAUGUAUUGUGAUAAGCAAAAUAUGCUCUAGAAGAAGUCCAAAAUAUGGACUCUAGAAGUCCAAAAUAUGGACUCUAGAAGAAGAUAUUUAAGGAAGGAAGAGAGCACUUUAGGAAUAGUUAAUGGAUUUCCCACUGGCUGGAUGAGGCCACUGUUUUAAAUGGAGCAGGGAACAGUCAUGGCCAUUUGAGUUGUACUAUCUCUAUGAAAGUCAAGUAAAGGUGUCAGCAGAUGGCUGGCUAUAUAAUGUGAAGCUUAGAAAUAGCUGAUGGGCAGGUUAGCACAAAGGAAAUGACUGAGACAAAUAGCCUCCUCGUAACUGGUUAGUUAAGAAAAACAAAACAAAAAAAUAGUGAAAUGGGCUGAAGACAGAACCCUGAAACAUGCCAGCAUUUUUAUUACAUGCUCCUAAACAACCAAUGUCAAAAGCGUAUGACUCGUGCAUUAUAUCAAUGGGAGGUUUUAAGUAAACUGAGGCCUGAGUCAAAUGGAGUGAUGUCCAGUCCUGUUUCUAUCACUUUCUACCUGGGAAUGUUAGGUCAAUUCUAUAAGCCUCACUUUCGAUACACACACACACACACACACACACACACACACACACACAAAGAAUGCAGUGGGAAAAACUGUCAUAAAGAUGAAAUGAAAUGAUGUGGGUAAAUUACUUAGCUCUGAGUCUAACGUAUACACCGUUAAAUUUUUAAUAAAUGUCAGAGGUCUAGAGAAAGUUGGUCAAUGGGGAGAGACUUGGUCAGUUGCAUUUUAAGAUUUCUUCCAUCUUUUGAAUAAGAACUGAUCCUCAGGCCACCCAGUGAGAAAAAGACCACUGUAAGUCCUUUGUAUAAGAUCAAUUAAUGUGGAUGUUUCAGCAUCCCUGCUUCUUCUCAGCCACCCUCCUCCCCACUGUAGGCAUCAUGCUCCAUGCCCAUUGCCAGAACUUGUGCUGUUCUGGAUCUCUGAAGAUGCUGGUCUUGAAAAUUCUUGACAGUACCACUGGUGACUCCAGACAGUAAUGUCUUGAUGGGUACAUGCAAGGAUAUGCUGCCAAAACUCCCACUGACUCCCAAGUAAUCAGCCUGCCAGCCCCCUUCUGUCCACACUAUUCUAUCACUUUGAAUUCAGUGAAUGGCCCUAUUAUUAUUGCCUAUGACUAUUACCUCUAGUAUUUGGGAAUAUAUUCAUUCAUUCAUUCCAAAACUAUUAAAUAUUAUAUUUCCAUUUUGACCCAGACAUUCUAGACAUUUGUGAGAUUGCAGUGAAUAAUGAAAUAUAAAAAGAUAAUUUUAAAUAGUGUUAAUAAGUAUGUCUACUCCUCAUUCAUACAACCCUAAAUAAGGUAGUUUUUUGAAAUGGAGUUGGGGUGUGUCCUGGCUAAGGUUUCCAUUACUGCAAUAAAACACCAUAAUCAGAAGCAAGUUGGAGAGGAAAGUGUUUCUUCUCUUACACUUCUACAUCACAGUGUAUCACUGAAGGAGGUCAAGGCAGGAACUCAAACAGGGAAGGAACCUGGGUACAGGAGCUGAUGCAGAAGCCUUGGAGGCUUGCUCCUCAUGACUUGCUCAGUCUACUUUAUUACACAACCUAGGAUCACCUGCCCAGGGGUGGCACCACCCACACUGGACUAGGCCCUCCCACAUGAAUGACUAAUUAAUAAAAUGUCAUCCAGGUUUUACUAUAGCUUAAUCUUAUGGAAACAUUUUCACAGGGGCUCCCUCCUCUCUGAUGACCCUAACUUGUGUAAAGUUGACAAAAACCUAGCCAGCACAGGGUGCAAAUUGAUUCCAUCCUUGUGGAGAGAAUUUAAUUCCUUUCCUUUUAAAAGAUCCAAGAUAGUUGCUUUUCUUUUCUACCAGAGUGAGGCUAGAGGAAGAAAGUCAUUUAUGAACCAGAAAACAGACCCUCUUUAAACAUCAAAUUUGACAGUAUCUUUAUUUGGGACUUUCCAGUCCCUAGAGCUGCAUACAAUCAAUUUGUGCUGUUUAUAAGCCAUUAGGAUUAUAACACUUAGUUUUAGCAGUGCAAAUAAAUUAAGACAAACAGUGAUAAAACGUGAUGAAGAAAUGAGCACAGAAGUGUGACUGGAUUUGACAUGGAUCUUUGAUCCAGUGACAUUUUGCAAAAAUCUGGUCUCUGAAAUUACUAGUGAAUGUGCGGAGAGGUAUGGAUGAAGAUUAGAUAUUGUUAUUUGAACAAUUACUGAAGCAAGGCAUAUUGUGCCUAUGGUUUUAUGCAUUGUAAAUUUACAGCUCUUUUCCCUCUUGAAUUAUACAAACCCAGCAAAGAGAAAGCUUUACAUUGCACUUGCAUGGAGCCUUAGAGAAAAGAGUCUUGAAUUAGCAGAUAGGUUCUUCUUUUUCUGCCAUUCCUGGUGUGUCCACAUUUUAAGGCGUUUGAUGAGUGAGAAUAUAAGUUUCAAAAAUGUCACCACUUACAGAAUGAGCUAGAGGGACUUCUCCUCAAGAAACUAAAAUGUACAGGACCACAGACAAGUCAGGAACAGAAUAACAACUUGAAAUCUGUGUGGGGACUGACAAGGUACAAAGAGCUUGUGUAGACUUUAUUAUACUAAAAGUCACGAGCGCCCAGACCCCGUGAGAGAGAGACCCAACCGCCUGGUCAGGUGGGCACUCCUGAGGCUGCAGAGCGGAAGAGACCACCAACACUGCCCACCCCUGCCCACAUCCCUGGCCCAAGAGGAAUCUGUAUAAGGCCUCUGGGCUCCCGUGGGGGAGGGCCCAGGAGCGGCAGGACCCCUGCCUGAGACACCGCUGGAACCUGAAGGAAACAGACCGGAUAAACAGUUCUCUGCACCCAAAUCCCGUGGGAGGGAGAGCUAAACCUUCAGAGAGGCAGACAAGCCUGGGAAACCAGAAGAAACUGCUCUCUGCACACACAUCUCGGACACCAGAGGAAAACACCAAAGGCCAUCUGGAACCCUGAUGCACUGAAGCUCCCGGAAGGGGCAGCACAGAUCUUCCUGGUUGCUGCCGCCACAGAGAGCCCGAGAGCAGCACCCCACGAGCAAACUUGAGCCUCAGGACCACAGGUAAGACCAACAUUUCUGCUGCAAGAAAGCUGCCUGGUGAACUCAAGACACAGGCCCACAGGAACAGCUGAAGACCUGUAGAGAGGAAAAAACUACACGCCCGAAAGCAGAACACUCUGUCCCCAUAACUGACUGAAAGAGAGGAAAACAGGUCUACAGCACUCCUGACACACAGGCUUAUAGGACAGUCUAGCCACUGUCAGAAAUAGCAGAACAAAGUAACACUAGAGAUAAUCUGAUGGCGAGAGGCAAGCGCAGGAACU
Rattus norvegicus (Norway rat) is the source of this 8405-nucleotide non-coding RNA. NCBI's taxonomy places the organism in Eukaryota, Metazoa, Chordata, Mammalia, Rodentia, Muridae. The record is from RefSeq and is a predicted model, not a curated record.